GGAAUAUUGGACAAUGGGCGAAAGCCUGAUCCAGCCAUGCCGCGUGUGUGAAGAAGGUCUUCGGAUUGUAAAGCACUUUAAGUUGGGAGGAAGGGCAUUUACCUAAUACGUAAGUGUUUUGACGUUACCGACAGAAUAAGCACCGGCUAACUCUGUGCCAGCAGCCGCGGUAAUACAGAGGGUGCAAGCGUUAAUCGGAAUUACUGGGCGUAAAGCGCGCGUAGGUGGUUUGUUAAGUUGAAUGUGAAAUCCCCGGGCUCAACCUGGGAACUGCAUCCAAAACUGGCAAGCUAGAGUAUGGUAGAGGGUAGUGGAAUUUCCUGUGUAGCGGUGAAAUGCGUAGAUAUAGGAAGGAACACCAGUGGCGAAGGCGACUACCUGGACUGAUACUGACACUGAGGUGCGAAAGCGUGGGGAGCAAACAGGAUUAGAUACCCGAG
RNAcentral lists this ribosomal RNA (440 nucleotides) under uncultured Pseudomonas sp. RNAcentral describes it as "bacterial SSU rRNA". It matches the Rfam family "Bacterial small subunit ribosomal RNA", at positions 358 to 790 of the family's 1533-position model. The record is from RNAcentral. Lineage: Bacteria; Pseudomonadati; Pseudomonadota; Gammaproteobacteria; Pseudomonadales; Pseudomonadaceae.